AGUGAACGCUGGCGGCAGGCCUAAUACAUGCAAGUCGAACGGCAGCACAGCAGAGCUUGCUCUGUGGGUGGCGAGUGGCGGACGGGUGAGGAAUACGUGGGAAUCUGCCCAGUCGUGGGGAUAACGUAGGGAAACUUACGCUAAUACCGCAUGCGCCCUUCGGGGGAAAGCCGGGGACCUUCGGGCCUGGCGCGAUUGGAUGAGCCCACGUCGGAUUAGCUAGUUGGCGGGGUAAAGCCCACCAAGGCGACGAUCCGUAGCUGGUCUGAGAGGAAGAUCAGCCACACUGGAACUGAGACACGGUCCAGACUCCUACGGGAGGCAGCAGUAGGGAAUAUUGGACAAUGGGCGCAAGCCUGAUCCAGCCAUGCCGCGUGAGUGAAGAAGGCCCUCGGGUUGUAAAGCUCUUUUGUCCGGAAAGAAAAGCGCCGGGUUAAUACCCUGGUGUCCUGACGGUACCGGAAGAAUAAGCACCGGCUAACUUCGUGCCAGCAGCCGCGGUAAU
Molecule: ribosomal RNA, 505 nt
Filed under: uncultured bacterium
Lineage: Bacteria
Description: bacterial SSU rRNA
Rfam family: Bacterial small subunit ribosomal RNA
Source: RNAcentral